UACGUAGGGUGCGAGCGUUGCUCGGAAUUACUGGGCGUAAAGCGCACGUAGGCGGCUUUCUAAGUCGGGGGUGAAAUCCUGGAGCUCAACUCCAGAACUGCCUUCGAUACUGGAGAGCUCGAGUCCGGGAGAGGUGAGUGGAACUGCGAGUGUAGAGGUGAAAUUCGUAGAUAUUCGCAAGAACACCAGUGGCGAAGGCGGCUCACUGGCCCGGUACUGACGCUGAGGUGCGAAAGCGUGGGGAGCAAACAGG
RNAcentral lists this ribosomal RNA (253 nucleotides) under uncultured bacterium. Its description in RNAcentral is "partial 16S ribosomal RNA". It matches the Rfam family "Bacterial small subunit ribosomal RNA", at positions 524 to 776 of the family's 1533-position model. The record is from RNAcentral.